CAUUGGGUCGAUUUAAAAAAAGCAAAAAAAUAAAUUAAAAGAUAGAAUUUUUAAAAUCGGGAUAAUAUCGUAUUUCAUAAUUAAAUUAUGUCCUUUGGCUCACUUCUUGAAACUAUUGUUCUAACUUAAUUCCCAAAGUCCUUAUAAAUAGGCAUUUGCAACAUGCUUACUUCAACAUUAAAAAACAAAAUGGCAUCCUACAAGACUCUCAUUUUAACCAUUUUGAUCAUUUGCAUUGCUUCAGGCAUGGUUGCCGUUUCAGGAGCAAACGGAAAAUUAUGCUUCGCAUCAAAUUUUUGUCCAACUUCACCAGAACAGUGUGACCAUUUUUGUAAAGCAUCAUUGGGCAAACCAAAAGGUGGCUCGUGUUUAGGGGGUGAAUGUUGUUGCAAUUUGGAAAGUUUGAAUAUAAAAUAAACAUUUACGUUGUUUCUUUGAAUA
Lathyrus oleraceus (garden pea) is the source of this 441-nucleotide long non-coding RNA. RefSeq lists it as uncharacterized. NCBI's taxonomy places the organism in Eukaryota, Viridiplantae, Streptophyta, Magnoliopsida, Fabales, Fabaceae. The transcript is spliced from 2 exons. The record is from RefSeq and is a predicted model, not a curated record.